CACUCUACGCCGCUGGCUUACGU
This 23-nucleotide microRNA is filed under the name Drosophila yakuba. Its description in RNAcentral is "dya-miR-978-5p". Its record names the gene dya-miR-978-5p. The record is from miRBase by way of RNAcentral. Lineage: Eukaryota; Metazoa; Arthropoda; Insecta; Diptera; Drosophilidae.